Molecule: transfer RNA, 70 nt
Filed under: Vibrio cholerae
Lineage: Bacteria; Pseudomonadati; Pseudomonadota; Gammaproteobacteria; Vibrionales; Vibrionaceae
Also listed under: 5 other names
Description: tRNA-Met
Rfam family: tRNA
About the family: Transfer RNA (tRNA) molecules are approximately 80 nucleotides in length.
Source: RNAcentral
UGGAGCAGCUUGGUAGCUCGUCGGGCUCAUAACCCGAAGGUCGUUGGUUCAAAUCCAGCCCCCGCAACCA